This 1417-nucleotide long non-coding RNA is filed under the name Homo sapiens (human). RNAcentral describes it as "long intergenic non-protein coding RNA 2975". Lineage: Eukaryota; Metazoa; Chordata; Mammalia; Primates; Hominidae. The record is from RNAcentral.
GGAAGCUGUGGGUGGAGACACAUCUGACGGGAGGGAUUUGGAUCCUGCCAGCUCGUCCCUGCAACCCCCUACUCCGGUCCCCUCAAACCUGUCCGUGGCUGGCAGCCCUGUGAUACCUCGCCACAUUCUGCAACAGAAUCCGAGAUAGAGGUAGAAGUGGGGGAGUACGUCGUGGCUGUCAGGGCAGCUUUCUGUAAAAUGCUGCCUGGAGGAGCAUGUGAUUCCAGACCCUCCUCUCUGCAACGAAAGUGAGGUUGACACCUGCAGGCCUGGGGCCUCCUGGCCCACUGAGCAGAACACACAGAAGCUGGGCCCACCCCUGCCCUCCCCACAAAGGGUCACGGGAGCCACCGCCUGACUUUGAAGCCCACUGACUUGCGGCUGACAAGAGAAAAGAAUGUGCCCCUGUGAUCAUGUGAAAGCAUCAGCCAGGGGUCCAAGAACUUCCCUCUGGAGCCUCACACUCCCAGCGUGGCACCCAGCAGGGAACAGAUUCUCUCCAAACCUUUGUGAAUGAAUGAAGGAUGACGUCACUAGAAUCCAUCCCUGUUUUAUUUUUUAUUUUUAUUUUUUGAGACAGAGUCUCGCUCUGUUGUUGCCCAGGCUGGAGUGCGGUGGCACAAUCUCAGCUCACUACAACCUCCGCCUCCCCGGUUCAAGUGAUUCUCCUGCCUCAACCUCCUGAGUAGCUGGGAUUACAGGCACCCAUCACCACGCCUGGCUAAUUUUUGUGUGUGUUUAGUACAGACGGGGUUUCACCACGUUGGCCAGACUGGUCUUGAACUCCUGACCUCAGGUGAUCCGCCUGCCUCGGCCUCCCAAAGUGUUGGGAUUACAGGCGUGAGCCACCACGCCCAUGCCCAUCCCCAUUUUAUAGACAAGGAUACCAAGGCUCAGAGAGGGGAAGCCACUUGCCAAGGACGCACAGGAGGACACCAGUGAGCAGGACCUCUGGUCUGUCUGGGAGGCCACUGGGCCUCUUCCCAGAGUCUCUGCUUGGUGAGCCAGGAUUUUACACCCGCCUUGGGCCCAGUGGGCUGAGAGGACAUGGGCUGGGGUGUCGGAAGCUGCAGAGCUGAUCCCUCCUGCUUGGCUGGAGGCUUGCAGACCCGGCAGGCAGGCUCGGGAGGCAGCGGGCGACUUGAAAAUGCACUCCCUACCACAGGCUCAAGAGUGACGGCGCCUGUCAGGGACCGGGAGGCAGGGCCUGUCUUUUCCUGCUGUUUUAUUGCCUUCAAAGUCUGGACCAAGUGGUUUCUGGAUGGAGUCACGGUAACCUCACGUCUAUUCAAGCAAUUCGUUCAUUGUUUCAUUUAGUAAAAUACCCACAAAACAAGGAAGAACACCUUGGCGGUGCCUCUGAUCCCCCCAUUUGUCUGCAAAUCGGAAAAGCAUGAUUCCAUCGAUCUCCUGUUUA